UUUUUUUAAGAAAUAGCUAAGAGUGAAUUAUUCAUUCAAGAAUUUGGAGCAAACAGAUUCAAAGUCUUCAUCCAGGUAUAUUCAAAAUUGUGAAAUUUAAUUUUUUUUUUAAUUAUUUUCAGAUUAGUUAAAUGUAUUGAGUUUGGACUGGAUUAUGUGUUGUGCUUAUUAUGUAUUAAACCGAAUUUGUUUGGACUGGAUUUUGUUUUUGUGCACAUUAUGUAUUAAAAUAGAAUUUGUUUAGAAAUUUAAUGUAUUAUAUAUUUAGAAUUUG
This 274-nucleotide long non-coding RNA is filed under the name Lathyrus oleraceus (garden pea). RNAcentral describes it as "Pisum sativum (pea) long non-coding RNA (PSAT_LNC023136)". Lineage: Eukaryota; Viridiplantae; Streptophyta; Magnoliopsida; Fabales; Fabaceae. The record is from RNAcentral.